Molecule: ribosomal RNA, 414 nt
Filed under: uncultured bacterium
Lineage: Bacteria
Description: bacterial SSU rRNA
Rfam family: Bacterial small subunit ribosomal RNA
Source: RNAcentral
GUAGUCCACGCCCUAAACGAUGUCUACUAGUUGUCGGGUCUUAAUUGACUUGGUAACGCAGCUAACGCGUGAAGUAGACCGCCUGGGGAGUACGGUCGCAAGAUUAAAACUCAAAGGAAUUGACGGGGACCCGCACAAGCGGUGGAUGAUGUGGAUUAAUUCGAUGCAACGCGAAAAACCUUACCUACCCUUGACAUGGAUGGAAUCCCGGAGAGAUUUGGGAGUGCCCGAAAGGGAACCAUCACACAGGUGCUGCAUGGCUGUCGUCAGCUCGUGUCGUGAGAUGUUGGGUUAAGUCCCGCAACGAGCGCAACCCUUGUCAUUAGUUGCUACGAAAGGGCACUCUAAUGAGACUGCCGGUGACAAACCGGAGGAAGGUGGGAACUCAAGGGAGACUGCCGGUGAUAAACCGGA